This 344-nucleotide ribosomal RNA is filed under the name uncultured Clostridium sp. RNAcentral's name for it is "bacterial SSU rRNA". It matches the Rfam family "Bacterial small subunit ribosomal RNA", at positions 355 to 714 of the family's 1533-position model. Lineage: Bacteria; Bacillati; Bacillota; Clostridia; Eubacteriales; Clostridiaceae. The record is from RNAcentral.
UGGGGGAUAUUGCACAAUGGGGGAAACCCUGAUGCAGCAACGCCGCGUGAGGGAAGAAGGUCUUCGGAUUGUAAACCUCUGUUGACAGGGAAGAAGUAAGUGACGGUACCUGUCGAGGAAGCCACGGCUAACUACGUGCCAGCAGCCGCGGUAAUACGUAGGUGGCAAGCGUUAUCCGGAAUUACUGGGUGUAAAGGGUGUGUAGGCGGGACUGCAAGUCAGAUGUGAAAACUAUUGGCUUAACCAAUAGCCUGCAUUUGAAACUGUGGUUCUUGAGUGUCGGAGAGGUAAAUGGAAUUCCCGGUGUAGCGGUGAAAUGCGUAGAUAUCGGGAGGACACCGGUG